GGGUUGUGAGGUUAAGCGACUAAGCGUACACGGUGGAUGCCCUGGCAGUCAGAGGCGAUGAAGGACGUGCUAAUCUGCGAUAAGCGUCGGUAAGGUGAUAUGAACCGUUAUAACCGGCGAUUUCCGAAUGGGGAAACCCAGUGUGUUUCGACACACUAUCAUUAACUGAAUCCAUAGGUUAAUGAGGCGAACCGGGGGAACUGAAACAUCUAAGUACCCCGAGGAAAAGAAAUCAACCGAGAUUCCCCCAGUAGCGGCGAGCGAACGGGGAGCAGCCCAGAGCCUGAAUCAGUGUGUGUGUUAGUGGAAGCGUUUGGAAAGGCGCGCGAUACAGGGUGACAGCCCCGUACACAAAAAUGCACAUGCUGUGAGCUCGAUGAGUAGGGCGGGACACGUGGUAUCCUGUCUGAAUAUGGGGGGACCAUCCUCCAAGGCUAAAUACUCCUGACUGACCGAUAGUGAACCAGUACCGUGAGGGAAAGGCGAAAAGAACCCCGGCGAGGGGAGUGAAAAAGAACCUGAAACCGUGUACGUACAAGCAGUGGGAGCACGCUUAGGCGUGUGACCGCGUACCUUUUGUAUAAUGGGUCAGCGACUUAUAUUCUGUAGCAAGGUUAACCGAAUAGGGGAGCCGAAGGGAAACCGAGUCUUAACUGGGCGUUAAGUUGCAGGGUAUAGACCCGAAACCCGGUGAUCUAGCCAUGGGCAGGUUGAAGGUUGGGUAACACUAACUGGAGGACCGAACCGACUAAUGUUGAAAAAUUAGCGGAUGACUUGUGGCUGGGGGUGAAAGGCCAAUCAAACCGGGAGAUAGCUGGUUCUCCCCGAAAGCUAUUUAGGUAGCGCCUCGUGAACUCAUCUCCGGGGGUAGAGCACUGUUUCGGCAAGGGGGUCAUCCCGACUUACCAACCCGAUGCAAACUGCGAAUACCGGAGAAUGUUAUCACGGGAGACACACGGCGGGUGCUAACGUCCGUCGUGAAGAGGGAAACAACCCAGACCGCCAGCUAAGGUCCCAAAGUCAUGGUUAAGUGGGAAACGAUGUGGGAAGGCCCAGACAGCCAGGAUGUUGGCUUAGAAGCAGCCAUCAUUUAAAGAAAGCGUAAUAGCUCACUGGUCGAGUCGGCCUGCGCGGAAGAUGUAACGGGGCUAAACCAUGCACCGAAGCUGCGGCAGCGACGCUUAUGCGUUGUUGGGUAGGGGAGCGUUCUGUAAGCCUGUGAAGGUGUACUGUGAGG
RNAcentral lists this ribosomal RNA (1237 nucleotides) under Escherichia coli. Its description in RNAcentral is "partial 23S ribosomal RNA". It matches the Rfam family "Bacterial large subunit ribosomal RNA", at positions 1 to 1268 of the family's 2925-position model. The record is from RNAcentral. Lineage: Bacteria; Pseudomonadati; Pseudomonadota; Gammaproteobacteria; Enterobacterales; Enterobacteriaceae.